RNAcentral lists this unclassified non-coding RNA (460 nucleotides) under Hevea brasiliensis (rubber tree). Lineage: Eukaryota; Viridiplantae; Streptophyta; Magnoliopsida; Malpighiales; Euphorbiaceae. The record is from RNAcentral.
AAUAAAAGAAAAUUAAAAAAAAAAGGCUUUGCACUUUCUACUCAAGAAGCCAUUAUCUGUUUUUCCCAAAAAAAUAAAAAAUAAAAAAAUUACCAUAUAUAUACAUAUAGUGGGGGUAGGGGUGUGCCGUGUGUUGAGAGGUGAUCAUGAUUUUGGUACUGAAGAUGCUAUGUUAGUAAUUAUAAAUUCAUUUUGCAAGGAUAGAUAGUUCAUUCUUUGCAUGCUGUCUAGGAAAUCUUAACUCUCCGAAAGGAAAGAGAUUAAAAAAAAGGAACUAAAGUAAGAAUUAAAAAAUAGUUAUUUUGCAGUGAAAUUAUUUGAGCUUUAAUAACACUUACAUUUUUCUGGAUCCUUUUUUUCCCUCACUUCUGGUUACUUUCUUCACUCCUACUAACUUUUCUUAGUCUGGUUUUCAGAAAUUUGUAGUGAUUUUUUUGACUUUGCACAGGUUCGUCUUUUG